UUUUUUAUAACUAAAUAUCCAGACCACACAGUAAUCUUAUUAUCUUACUGGGCCUAAACCCGCGAUUAGGGAUUUUUAAACCUCCACAUAAAAAUCCGCUGGAACUAAUGGUCUGAGACACUAGAGCAAGUACGCAUGUUAAUUUCUUAAUGGCCAGGAAUCAAACCCGGAUGAUGGGCGCCUCAGUCGAGUUUCCUUUACCAAUAAACCACGAUGCCUGAUUAUCUCCACAUAUUUUUCUAUCCACUUUUUUUAGAUGAUCAAAUCUAUUAUUUCCUAUCUUAACUUUUAUAUGAUCAUCGCAGGAAAC
This 310-nucleotide small RNA is filed under the name Arabidopsis thaliana (thale cress). Its description in RNAcentral is "ATSL124130". Lineage: Eukaryota; Viridiplantae; Streptophyta; Magnoliopsida; Brassicales; Brassicaceae. The record is from RNAcentral.